GGAUGAGUCCGCGUACCAUUAGCUAGUUGGUAGGGUAAUGGCCUACCAAGGCGACGAUGGUUAGCUGGUCUGAGAGGAUGAUCAGCCACACUGGAACUGAGAUACGGUCCAGACUCCUACGGGAGGCAGCAGUGAGGAAUCUUGCGCAAUGGGGGCAACCCUGACGCAGCAAUGCCGCGUGAGUGAGGAAGGUCUUCGGAUCGUAAAGCUCUGUCAGUUGGGAAGAAAUGGCUGGAGGUCAAUACCCUUCGGUCUUGACGGUACCAACAGAGGAAGCACCGGCUAACUCCGUGCCAGCAGCCGCGGUAAUACGGGGGGUGCAAGCGUUGUUCGGAAUUAUUGGGCGUAAAGAGCGUGUAGGCGGCCUGAUAUGUCAGAUGUGAAAGCCCUGGGCUUAACCCAGGAAGUGCAUUUGAAACUGUCAGGCUCGAGUAGGGGAGAGGGAAGUGGAAUUCCUGGUGUAGAGGUGAAAUUCGUAGAUAUCAGGAGGAACACCGGUGGCGAAGGCGACUUCCUGGCCCUAUACUGACGCUGAGACGCGAGAGCGUGGGUAGCAAACAGGAUUAGAUACCCUGGUAGUCCACGCCGUAAACGAUGUUCACUAGGUGUUGGGGGUAUUGACCCCCUCAGUGCCGGAGCUAACGCAUUAA
RNAcentral lists this ribosomal RNA (650 nucleotides) under uncultured bacterium. RNAcentral's name for it is "bacterial SSU rRNA". It matches the Rfam family "Bacterial small subunit ribosomal RNA", at positions 223 to 863 of the family's 1533-position model. The record is from RNAcentral.